Molecule: long non-coding RNA, 437 nt
Filed under: Elaeis guineensis (African oil palm)
Lineage: Eukaryota; Viridiplantae; Streptophyta; Magnoliopsida; Arecales; Arecaceae
Description: long non-coding RNA (EGUI_LNC017951)
Source: RNAcentral
CCCUUACUUGAGAACACCCACAGCUAUCUCCAGUACUACCACCAACCACAAAAUAAAGCAUGUACAAGGAAAAUUUAUUCUCUUCUUUAUUCUACCUAACAACAAGUAGAAACUGAAUAAGCAUUUCAUGAACAGCCCAGGCUCAGCUUGAUGACAUGCUUGUUGAAGUUGUUUGACUAGCAAGUGAAUAAAACUCAAACAUAUUUUAUUGUUUGAUUCAUAAAAGGGGCAAGCCUGAACAUGGUGGUUUCACAAAAAUAAACAGAAGCUGUCUCAGUUCGAUAACAAGUUUGUCGAUCCAGUUAAUUAACAAGAUGAGCUUGAACAUUUGUUGUCAAGCUCAGUAUGUGCGUUGAUACCUCUUCUAUAUAAAAAGGAAUCUGAGCGGCUUUCUAUUUGGCUUGGCUGGCUUGUUUGCACCACUAAGCAACACCCAA